AAAAAAAAUCCAUAUUUUGUUGAUAUCUCAGAUCAAUCUCAAGCCUCCAUCUUCCAGUCAGAAAUGAUUGUUAGCCAUAUUCUGCAUGAGAUAGGAAUUAUCUUCAUUCUCUGUCUGUUCGAGGUCAAAGGCAUCGAGUUUCAGGAGUCCGGUCCCAAGAUAGUACCGGACGAGAAGGCAGAGGUCGUGAUCACCUGUAGCCAUAACGACAGCUCUAGGCCUCUGAUGCUGUGGUACCAGCAGAAACAGGGCUCAGGUCCCUUGGUCUUACUGGGUUAUAACUAUGGAGCCACUACAUCCAACUAUGAGGACGGCAUUAAAGAGCAGUUUGAGAUCAAAAUGGACGACAGUCAGAGCGGAUCCCUGGCAGUUCGGGAGGCAAAUGUGACACACACGGCGGUGUACUUCUGCGCUGCUGGUGAGCACAGUGAUGUGGUUUUGAACCGUGUGCGCACUAAAACGCUCCUCUGUCUAUCGAGUCGAUGAUGAACAGUACUAGGCAGGAGAGGGUGUGUCUUAUUCUUCAUGAAACAGACUUGAUCUGAAGGAUGGUCUGUAUGUCUUUCUGAAAACAACAUGAGGACAGGAUGUC
Molecule: non-coding RNA, 592 nt
Organism: Gadus morhua (Atlantic cod)
Lineage: Eukaryota; Metazoa; Chordata; Actinopteri; Gadiformes; Gadidae
Source: the annotation of a RefSeq genome assembly